UUAACCCAAAUGCACCACGUAGUCACCCUCGUGGACUCAGCAGCACUACUGGACUUAAAUUUACAAAGAUACAAGGAGCUCAGAGCAGAGGGCAGCUGGACGCCCACUGAAGCACAACAAUGAAUGUAUCUAUAGAAAGCACCGAAACAUAAGGUCACCAUCCCCCUUUGUCCCCUCCAACAAUCUCCAUCAGCAGCAAAGUUUGUCCUCCAGAGCUGUGGAGUGUGACAAUGGUGUUUGUUUCCUCUCUAUCAAACGCCAUUAUCACACUAAAUAGCUACAGUGCGGAAAGGACCUCGGUGCACUCGCUUCAAGUCAGGGUUCGUGCAGUUGAUUUAUGUUGUCCUAAAUGUUUUGCGCUCUUCAGCUUCUGUUCUUUCAAUUCUUGCUGUCCUCCUGAGGAGGAACACGUGUGGCCGUGUGUGUGACAGCACAGGACAUGUUGCACCACCGCAGGGAUGGAAUUAGACUUAAAAUGAGUUGAAGCAUGACGUUAAGACCCUUGAUGUGACCCUAGUUCAUUUGUAUUUAUUUUUGUCGUGAUUAUUGUUUAUUUUUUUUUGCAUGUAAAACCACAGUUUAAUAUUUUAUGUUCUUGAUUAAUUCCAAUUUUUUAACAUGUAAGCAGUACUUAUGUAUGUAUUAGUUUUACUUGUUGUUGGUUUAUUUAGCAUUUUGUGAUUCUGGAUCAAAUAAUAAAGUGGAUGCUCCAAGCUGUUCCUGAGAAAUAAGAAAUGUCAAAAAUGUUAUCAGAUUGCACGUGUAUACAGAGGAAUAAUUAAUAGCACAUAUGUCACUAUAAACAAGAAAAAUGUUUUAAAA
Gambusia affinis (western mosquitofish) is the source of this 822-nucleotide long non-coding RNA. RefSeq lists it as uncharacterized. The record is from RefSeq and is a predicted model, not a curated record. NCBI's taxonomy places the organism in Eukaryota, Metazoa, Chordata, Actinopteri, Cyprinodontiformes, Poeciliidae. The transcript has 2 exons.